Molecule: ribosomal RNA, 409 nt
Filed under: uncultured eukaryote
Lineage: Eukaryota
Description: eukaryotic LSU rRNA
Rfam family: Eukaryotic large subunit ribosomal RNA
Source: RNAcentral
CUUAGCAUAAUCAGCGGGGAAGAAGACCCCUGUUGAGCUUGACUCUAGUCAGACUUUUGAGAAAAUUGACAUGAAGAAUAUAGCAUAGUGGGAGAUUACUUAAAAUGAUCGACUUUGAAAUACCACUGUCUUUAUAGUUGUUUUCUUAUUUAAUUGGGUAGAAACAGGGCCAAAAAGCCCUUUUUUCUUGAGUUAAUUGGAAUGAUACGCUUGGGGGGGUAUUAUUGUUUGGUCUCUGAAAGGGGAUCAAGUGGUAGUAUCUUUUAUCCCCAGGCCUCUGCAUCCGAGAUCUAGGUUAAAGACAUUGUCUGGUGGGGAGUUUGGCUGGGGCGGCACAUCUGUUAAAAGCUAACACAGGUGUCCUAAGAGGAGCUCAAUGAGAACAGAAAUCUCAUGUAGAACAUAAGGG